UGGCUUAUGGAUCCAGAGGGAUAAGAGU
Molecule: non-coding RNA, 28 nt
Filed under: Mus musculus (house mouse)
Lineage: Eukaryota; Metazoa; Chordata; Mammalia; Rodentia; Muridae
Source: RNAcentral